GGAUACCCGAGGGAAACUUCGGUUAAUACGGUAUAAGACCACACUACCGCAUGGUAGAGGGGUAAAAGGGGCAACCUGGUAUGAGAUGGACUCGCGUCGCAUUAGCUAGUUGGUGAGGUAACGGCCCACCAAGGCGACGAUGCGUAGCCGACCUGAGAGGGUGAUCGGCCACAUUGGGACUGAGAUACGGCCCAGACUCCUACGGGAGGCAGCAGUGGGGAAUAUUGGGCAAUGGAGGAAACUCUGACCCAGCAAUGCCGCGUGAAUGAAGAAGGUCUUCGGAUUGUAAAGUUCUUUAGUCAGGGAAGAAGUCAAUGACGGUACCUGAAGAAUAAGCUCCGGCUAACUACGUGCCAGCAGCCGCGGUAAUACGUAGGGAGCAAGCGUUGUUCGGAAUGACUGGGCGUAAAGGGUGCGUAGGCGGUUGUACAAGUUAGAAGUGAAAACCCAGGGCUUAACUCGGGUGCUGCUUCUAAAACUGUAUGACUUGAGUGCAGUAGAGGUUAGUGGAAUUCCUAGUGUAGCGGUGGAAUGCGUAGAUAUUAGGAGGAACACCAGAGGCGAAGGCGGCUAACUGGACUGCAACUGACGCUGAGGCACGAAAGUGUGGGGAGCAAACAGGAUUAGAUACCCUGGUAGUCCACACUGUAAACGAUGGGUAAUAGAUGUAGGAGGUAUCGACUCCUUCUGCGUCGCAG
This 698-nucleotide ribosomal RNA is filed under the name uncultured bacterium. RNAcentral's name for it is "bacterial SSU rRNA". It matches the Rfam family "Bacterial small subunit ribosomal RNA", at positions 141 to 851 of the family's 1533-position model. The record is from RNAcentral.